UCUGGUUUUGAGAAAAGCAGUCCCAACGCUUCGGAGCAGGAACCAGCUGUGUUGGUGGAUAGUGAAAUACCCGGUGGAGCUAAACUGCUAGAGAAGUUGCAGGGAAGCAUUUCAGUUGAUGAAAAGGUGUUCUUGGCGGCGGCGGAUGCUGUAAAAACAGCAAUGUGCAAUUUGUUAAUUAAGAAGCAAUAUUCUGAUGAGAAACGAGAGUUCAGAAAGCGAACAAGAAAUGAUAGGAAAAGCAAGCAUUGAUUCAGUGUAUUGAUUGACAAUGUUGGUACAUGUAACAUUAGUUAUAUGGGAAUCUCCCAAUCUAUUUAAGGCACUGCAAAAACUUUCCAUUAUAGCCUUUUUUGGUUGAUGGAUGUCUAAUCUAACAAAUAUACAUUCUAGUAAUAAGUAGGGACAUAUAGUUAUUUUAUGGCUUAAAUGCAAAAUUGAUGUGUUUUUUACAUUUAGCAAUUUGUUUCGUUCGCAUGUGACAUUUAUUUUUAUUUAAAGGGUAAAUUCACUAAUAGUCCCUCAACUUUGGAGCAGUUGAUAAAACAGUCACUCAGAUUUCAAUUUAGUCAUUCGACUUUCGAAAAAUAACAAAACAGUCACCACUAAUCAUUUUUCGUUAUGUGUGUAAUGGAGUUAUCAUUUUCCGUUACAGACUUCCAUUUUCCAUCCCCCUCUCCCAUCCCUCCCUUUUCCUUACUAUCCCUCCUCCUACUCUUAUGCUUUCCCUCCCCCCCCCCCAACAUCGUCCUUUUGCUAACCCUCUUCCCCUACUCUGAUUCUUUCCCUUUCCCCUACCAACCCUCCCCCUACUUUGAUUCUCUAAUAAAGCAUUGUUUAUCAAUCUGAAAUCCUCUUCUCUACUACACAGAGGGAGACAGACCCUACAACACAACUAACAAAACUACACCACCCAACACACUAUUAAGACCCACUUCACCUGUAUUUGUCCCCAAAAAUGCAGCUAUAUUGGCAAACACAUUUGAUGCCCCAUUUCCCGGGAAGGAGUGAAACCCCAACAACAGUUGGAGGCAACCUAAGCAGAUGUGAAAGAUUCUCCAAUGAACAACAAAAGUACUUCGCUACCGUGUUGCCUAACAAAUAAAACAAAACAGCAAGCUAAACACCCAAUACCACAUACCCUACUAUCCUAAAUCCUUUGCAACCACAAUAGAAAAACUUAAUGUCAUCAAAGAAUCCAUCUGAAGAACAUUGGGGAUGAGCUUUCAAGAACUCACAUGGAUUAGCAAAACCCUGAUGAUCAAACAAUCCAUAACACAAAGCAGGGUUGCUCGAGCUUACGCUCAAAUCAUUCUCUUGAGCAUUCUUAUCAGCUAAAUUUGAUGAAUCUGCAUCAAGUUCACUAAUUUUUCUACGAAUAACACUAAAAUGAUCAUACCCAUUAGUGAAACCAGGUCCUUGAGUCACAUAGUUAAUAAGCAGAGACGACUAGCGAAUUGAGGGUUUCUUAAAAAAUUAACGUAGGUAUAGAAUAGGAAAAUCAGAAUCAAAGCAAAUAAUCCAUUGAAAAUUCCACGAAAUCUAGGAUUUUUUAAAGCAUAGAGACAAUAAUUCCUCAUUGAGAAACUACUCCAAAUUUCUUAGAAAGUGGAAUUAGACUAGGGUUUUUAGCAAAAGGAGCUAUGAAACCCCAACCCUGAAUUAAUAAGAGAACUUGAAUUAAUAAAUUCGACUUACCGAUGGCCAAAGCAGCAAACUUAAUGAUUUUCGAAAGGAAGAGAAAGAGAGAAUUGAAGUAGGGGGAUGGUGGGAGAGAGGGAAGAUUAAGGGAAAAGGGUUAGCAAAUGGACAAUAGGGAAUAGGGAGUGGGAUG
This 1834-nucleotide long non-coding RNA is filed under the name Gossypium barbadense (sea-island cotton). Its description in RNAcentral is "long non-coding RNA (GBAR_LNC021397)". The record is from RNAcentral. Lineage: Eukaryota; Viridiplantae; Streptophyta; Magnoliopsida; Malvales; Malvaceae.